GACUCCGAGCGCAGUAGUAAAACCCUCGCUUUGGACUGUACUGGCGCGGCCCUGCCGUAAAACCCCCAACUUCUGAAAAUUUGACCUCGACAACGUAGGAAUACCCGCUGAAUUAAGCAUACAAGG
This 126-nucleotide ribosomal RNA is filed under the name Cytospora mali. RNAcentral describes it as "partial 28S ribosomal RNA". The record is from RNAcentral. Lineage: Eukaryota; Fungi; Ascomycota; Sordariomycetes; Diaporthales; Cytosporaceae.